RNAcentral lists this ribosomal RNA (253 nucleotides) under uncultured bacterium. RNAcentral describes it as "partial 16S ribosomal RNA". It matches the Rfam family "Bacterial small subunit ribosomal RNA", at positions 524 to 776 of the family's 1533-position model. The record is from RNAcentral.
UACAGAGGGUGCGAGCGUUAUUCGGAAUUACUGGGCGUAAAGCGCACGUAGGCGGCUUGGUAUGUCGGGUGUGAAAUCCCCGGGCUCAACCUGGGAACUGCAUCCGAAACUGCCUUGCUAGAGUAUGGGAGAGGGAAGUGGAAUUUCCGGUGUAGCGGUGAAAUGCGUAGAUAUCUGGAGGAACACCGGUGGCGAAGGCGGCGUUCUGGACUGUAUCUGACACUGAAAAACGAAAGCCAGGGUAGCAAACGGG